CGGCGAGUGAGCGGUAAAAGCUCAAAUUUGAAAUCUGGUACUUUCAGUGCCCGAGUUGUAAUUUGUAGAAUUUGUCUUUGAUUAGGUCCUUGUCUAUGUUCCUUGGAACAGGACGUCAUAGAGGGUGAGAAUCCCGUUUGGCGAGGAUACCUUUUCUCUGUAAGACUUUUUCGAAGAGUCGAGUUGUUUGGGAAUGCAGCUCAAAGUGGGUGGUAAAUUCCAUCUAAAGCUAAAUAUUGGCGAGAGACCGAUAGCGAACAAGUACAGUGAUGGAAAGAUGAAAAGAACUUUGAAAAGAGAGUGAAAAAGUACGUGAAAUUGUUGAAAGGGAAGGGCAUUUGAUCAGACAUGGUGUUUUUUGCAUGCACUCGCCUCUCGUGGGCUUGGGCCUCUCAAAAAUUUCACUGGGCCAACAUCAAUUCUGGCAGCAGGAUAAAUCAUUAAGAAUGUAGCUACUUCGGUAGUGUUAUAGCUUUUUGGAAUACUGUUAGCCGGGAUUGAGGACUGCGCUUCGGCAAGGAUGUUGGCAUAAUGGUUAAAUGCCGCCCGUCUUGAAACACGGA
Molecule: ribosomal RNA, 563 nt
Filed under: Hanseniaspora uvarum
Lineage: Eukaryota; Fungi; Ascomycota; Saccharomycetes; Saccharomycodales; Saccharomycodaceae
Description: eukaryotic LSU rRNA
Rfam family: Eukaryotic large subunit ribosomal RNA
Source: RNAcentral